Molecule: small nuclear RNA, 107 nt
Filed under: Cebus imitator (Panamanian white-faced capuchin)
Lineage: Eukaryota; Metazoa; Chordata; Mammalia; Primates; Cebidae
Source: RNAcentral
GUCCUCACUUCAAUAACACAUAAACGAAAAUUGCAAUGAUACAGAGAAGAUUAGCAUGGCCCCUGCACAAGGAUGACAUGCAAAUUUGUGAAGUGUUUCAUAUUUUU